GGUCCCCCCGGGCGUCGAUGAAUGUGGGGUACCAUUCCUUGAUGAUGUGGUCAUGUUUGUAGUCGGCCUUAUUGUCCUUUAGAUGUUCCACGGUGUUCCGCUCGCUCUUCUCAUAGGCCUCCCGGGGCUUCCGGACAGACACCUUGCAUUCUCGGACCUUGUUGACGAUGAAUUCUUGGAUGAGAAACCUGAUAUCUUCCAUGAGGCAGUCAUCAUAAAGAAGUCUGAAUAUCUUGGUUGAGAGCUAGACUUUGGAAACAGAGAGACCCUGUAUAAUAACAGACUAAGAAGUAAGGAAGACAAGCCCAGCCAGUCCCACAACUAUUUCAUUAAUACCAGGAAAUCUACUCCAGUCCUGUCCUGUGGAAACUAAUGGGAGUGCCAGGAGGCCUAACCAUCUGAGGUGAAUUGAAAAGAAAAAGCAGCGUGCUGAUUGCAGUGACUGGUGCAUGGAUCUCGAUGGCUACUCUGUACUGUAGGCAGUGAUGACACCCUGUUGAGGAGAUUGGUAGGAGCCAUAGCAACACAGGAGGCACAAUUUUAGGGAUGGUUUACAUUCCUAGCUGGAGUUUCCACAAAGCCCAGGUGCUUGCAUAGAGCCUUACCCUUGCCUAUAAACAACUACAUGGUUUAGUGUCCCCGUAAAAUUUCCCUAGAAUGGGAAAUAAUGUCAGGGCAGCAAUACAGUUUGGGGCAGUAUUUAAGAUCUAGUGCUCAGCUUAACAUAAGUCAUCCUGAGACUGAGAAAAAAAUGACAGGCAAUAAUUUAGUUUCAGUACAGUAUUUUAGUUCCGAUAUUCACUAUAAGUCCUUCCCAGGAAUUGAAACAACAUUCAAGUGUUUAAAUUUAAUACUAAGACAUAACCCCUAACAUCACCAAAGAACAUCUGCAAAAACUGGAAGAGGUGGGUGUCUCCUCAAAUGUGCAGGCAUCAACAUAAGCACAUCAGAAUGGUGAAAACUCAGGUAGAUAUGAAAUUACCAAAAGGCAUCAAGGAGGCUCCAUCGAUGGAUCCAGAAUAAAUAAAGAUCUGUGAGAUGUCUGACAGAGCAUUCAGAAAAAUCUCUUCCUCUCUUUAUAUAAAUAAUGGCUGGGAAUUCAGCCAUUCCAAAUCUGGAGAACCCCUAAAGAAGUUUAGAAAAUCACAAAGAAAUAUGGAAAGUAAAUAAAAAUUAAAAAACAAUCAAUUAACAAAAUGAGAAACUUGAAAAAAAUAGAAACAA
Molecule: long non-coding RNA, 1224 nt
Organism: Homo sapiens (human)
Lineage: Eukaryota; Metazoa; Chordata; Mammalia; Primates; Hominidae
Source: Ensembl